CGUGGCGCUCAGCAGUCGUGCCCUGCGCUUGGGAUGCGCCUAACCUGCACUGAGGAGGAGAGGUGCAGACUGCAGAGUAGCAGCAGAGGAGAACACAGGGGCACAUCUGAUACUGCGGAUGAAGGAGAAGGAAUGAUGUACAUGGCUUUUGCACAGAUGCACAGGUAGAGGUUGUGCCUCUGUGGAGAGCAGCUCCUGGUCCUAGUGCAUGCAACUAAGCUUUGAGCAAUCCUCUAUCAAUUUUCAAGUUGCACAAUGAAUAAAGAAGGCAUUACCAAAAUGCCUACAACCAGCACAGGAUGAUGGGGAAGUAGCUGUGUUGUUUUGUUGCCAUGGCGAUCGUAAGCACUCCGUCACUCGCUCAGCGACCAUGACUGCUCUGAGUGAUGUCAUUGGCCUCCGACACCGGCCAGGUGCGUAAUCCCAGUUCCGGUCCAGCUGUUACACGUGGUGAUUGAAAGUAUUUAAGAUUCAAAACCAAAACCCGAAAGGGUGAUUUUGGCAAAACCAAUCCAGAUCUAAGAUACAAGCGGGGAUCCAGAUCCAAAACCAAAGCACAAAACCCGAAAAGUGUCCGCCGCACAUGUCUAGAUAAUACAGGGCUGCCACUGCUCGUGCUGCCUGAUCCAAGGAGAAGAAGGAGGAGAGGAUAUAGCCCCAUCUGCUGGCCAUGUCCUGGAAGCUGCUCAAUGGAUCUGACAGGUGGCAGGACCGCGCAUGCACACAAACACAAAAAACAACUUUUGUAUGGACUGCAGCCCAUAGAAGCUGGGCAGGGCUGACAAAAAGCAUACGUCUUCCUGUUGCACUGCAAGAAAAUGAAGCAGCUGCCCUGUUCUACUUUAUGAUUGAAACGAAAUACCUAAAGUCAUGACCUGGCUGGAAAAAAAAGAAAAUGGGAUAUUCAGUGGUAUAUAUGUUAUAUAACUGGAAUUUUAAAUGUAUUCCAUAAAGAAAGUAGUUUAUUUAGAUCUCUCCGUAUAAGCAGUUUAAGCAUAAAUCUAUCUAGUGUGCCUGAAUAAUCCCCUAAAGAGAACCAUCAGAAAUGUAUAAAUAUAUUGUGUAAAAGUCAAUGUAUGUGAAUGUACAAUUUAUAAUUCCGUACACAGGCACAGCCAGGCAGUGACAUUAUCGGGGUCAUUCCGACCCGAUCGAAUGCUGCCUUUUUUCGCAGCCGUGCAAUCGGGUCAGAACUGCGCAUGUACUCAGCACAAAAAAUUGACCCCAGGUGUAUAAAGAUGGAAAAAUAAGGGUGUCAUGCAUUCCGGACUGCCCACUCACCAAACACCUAGAUCAGGCAUGUCAAACU
Long non-coding RNA from Pseudophryne corroboree (corroboree frog), 1309 nucleotides. RefSeq lists it as uncharacterized. NCBI's taxonomy places the organism in Eukaryota, Metazoa, Chordata, Amphibia, Anura, Myobatrachidae. The transcript is spliced from 6 exons. The record is from RefSeq and is a predicted model, not a curated record.